CAGGUCUUGACAUCCUUUGAAGCUUUUAGAGAUAGAAGUGUUCUCUUCGGAGACAAAGUGACAGGUGGUGCAUGGUCGUCGUCAGCUCGUGUCGUGAGAUGUUGGGUUAAGUCCCGCAACGAGCGCAACCCUUAUUGUUAGUUGCCAGCAUUCAGAUGGGCACUCUAGCGAGACUGCCGGUGACAAACCGGAGGAAGGCGGGGACGACGUCAGAUCAUCAUGCCCCUUAUGACCUGGGCUACACACGUGCUACAAUGGCGUAUACAACGAGUUGCCAACCCGCGAGGGUGAGCUAAUCUCUUAAAGUACGUCUCAGUUCGGAUUGUAGUCUGCAACUCGACUACAUGAAGUCGGAAUCGCUAGUAAUCGCGG
Molecule: ribosomal RNA, 372 nt
Filed under: uncultured Lactococcus sp.
Lineage: Bacteria; Bacillati; Bacillota; Bacilli; Lactobacillales; Streptococcaceae
Description: bacterial SSU rRNA
Rfam family: Bacterial small subunit ribosomal RNA
Source: RNAcentral